UGGCAAAAAUGUAUUGGAGAAUGAAAAUUGUGAACUGUGUGGUGGUAAAUGAUAGUAGUUGUGGUGUGAUGAUGGGAUCACUGAUGUCAUUAUACUGAAAUUAGUUCAAGAAACAUAGGGUUAAUAAAAUUGAUGGCUUAUGGUGCCUAAAAUAUCUGUUUGUGCUAUGUUGGAGUUGAGUGAUGAUCUAUUGCAGAGUGGAGAUGGAGAGAAGGGAAAAUUGGAGAUGAAGAGAAUUUUAUAUGUUUAAGAGGAUAAGAAUAGAGAAGCAUAUCAAGAAUGGAGUUGAUCAAUCAAUAUAAUGGAGUGAAGAAUUAUAUAUCACUAGACCGCCAUAAGUUCCUUGUGUUAUACUUAUGGGAUGGAUAAAUAGAUGCUUAUAUAAUGUGUGCAUUGUAGAUAACAACAUUUGGCAUGGAGAAGAGCAGGAGUGGAAAAGGUGGAGAAGGAAGUGGAGAAUAAUAAAUAAAUUGGUUAGAUUUGAAUGCCAGUGCUCA
Molecule: unclassified non-coding RNA, 497 nt
Filed under: Hevea brasiliensis (rubber tree)
Lineage: Eukaryota; Viridiplantae; Streptophyta; Magnoliopsida; Malpighiales; Euphorbiaceae
Source: RNAcentral